Molecule: long non-coding RNA, 1365 nt
Filed under: Anthonomus grandis grandis
Lineage: Eukaryota; Metazoa; Arthropoda; Insecta; Coleoptera; Curculionidae
Description: uncharacterized LOC126743435
Source: RNAcentral
UAAAAGAAAAAAAACAUGAAAUUAAAAACUUAAUAUCUUAUAUUUAUUUUGUUUAAUAUAAGUGUUAUUAAAAUAUUAUAUUAGGGUUCUUUACUGUCCUAGGCAUUAUCUUUCAGUAGCCGCAUCUGAUAUGCGAGAUUACGGAUUAUUAAUUUUAGUUAGUAGAAUCUCCUGUAAAAUAAAAAACUAUAUCCAUUUAAGUUCCCCUAAAAAGCAAAAUUCAAGCAAAAGGGUUACAGACUUAACAAUUUUAGAUACUGCUGGUAUCCCUAAUACUAUUUAUACAAUGUACGAGUAAAGUAAGUAUUUUAUUAUUUGGUUAUAUAUAAUAGGUAUUUUUUAAUAUUUUCUUUUAUUUUUGGAAAAAUAUGUGACUUUAAUUUUUUAUGGCAAGAACUUAAAGAAAAAUUAAAAUUUGAUGGUUGUCGCAUACCAUUAUGCUCAGUUCUAAAAGAAAUUGGCUUUAAAUGGAAAAAAGAUGAUCCUAGAAGGAGGCUUUUAGAACUGCCUAAUAUAGCAUUUAAACGUGUCGAUUUUUAAAGUCGUAUAUAAAAGAAAAAGAGAAAGAAAAGAGCAUAUAUAAAUUUGUCUUCCUAGACGAAAAAGAUUUUUCAAAAUGGAACCAUAGGGCGUUCAUGGCAGGAUGAUAAUAAAAAGAGCGUGAGAAAGAUUAAAAGCGAUGGUAAGAGAUAUAUCAUACUUAAUGCGAAUGGGAAAUAAAGAUGGAUUUAUUGAAAACGCAGAUCUUAUUUUUUCCCUAAUGAGUCAAACAAGCAACUACCAUGGUGAAAUGAAUCGGGAAUAUGUUUGCUUUGAUUUGUUAAAAAAUUUAACUGAUCCAUCAUUAAUAAUUGUGGACAAAGCUCCUUGCCACAUCAUGCUCUUAAAUAAAAGAACUAAACAGUUCUUGAACAAAACCAGCAAUUCAGGAGUGGCUAAUUACCGAGAAUAUAAAGUCUUUAAACAAUAUGUUUAAAAGUGAACUUUUAAGAAUUGUUGCAAGAAAUAAAGCAAAGCAAAAAUAUUUUAUAGAUGAUCUGGUUGAGCAGUUCAGUCAUAAAGUUCUUCGCCUGCCACCAUAUCACUGUAUGUUUAAACCAAUCGAACAUAUAUGGGGCAUAUCCAAAUCCUAUUACAAUAAGCACAUUAGCAGGGAUGGCAAUUCACACCAAGAUUGCUUAAACAUGUGGCAUAGAGCACUGCAAACCAUAACACCUGAUAUAUAGAAAAAUACAAUAACACAUACGGAAAAGGAAAUUUUAAAAUGAGUGCACAGAAUCAGAUUAGUAGUAAUACCUACUAAACAAAACAUAUAAUUUUCGUAUUAUUAUAUAUUAUUGUAAUAUAUUUUAUAUUUGUUAAAAA